UACAAUUCAAGAAAAAAGUAU
This 21-nucleotide non-coding RNA is filed under the name Caenorhabditis elegans. The record is from RNAcentral. Lineage: Eukaryota; Metazoa; Nematoda; Chromadorea; Rhabditida; Rhabditidae.